This 203-nucleotide unclassified non-coding RNA is filed under the name Glomeraceae sp. RNAcentral's name for it is "partial contains 5.8S ribosomal RNA and internal transcribed spacer 2". The stretch from base 1 to 65 matches the Rfam family "5.8S ribosomal RNA", at positions 84 to 154 of the family's 154-position model. Lineage: Eukaryota; Fungi; Glomeromycota; Glomeromycetes; Glomerales; Glomeraceae. The record is from RNAcentral.
GUGAAUCAUCGAAUUUUUGAACGCAAAUUGCACUCUCUGCGGAGAGGAUGCCUGUUUGAGGGUCAGCCUAGAAAAAAUCGACAUCGGUGCUGUUGCGCGGUGGCUUUCGGCGGAAAUUGGGGUAUCUUAGAUCUUUUUUUUAAGCUACUUAAAAUUUUCUUGACGAUUCCAUGAACGAUUCGAAAAGUUAUUUCUUUACACGU